Molecule: long non-coding RNA, 2026 nt
Filed under: Strigops habroptila (Kakapo)
Lineage: Eukaryota; Metazoa; Chordata; Aves; Psittaciformes; Psittacidae
Description: lncRNA (ENSSHBG00005007168.1)
Source: RNAcentral
AUCCCCGCAGUGCGCCGGCCCGGCGCUGCCCCACAGCCCCACAGCGCCCGGCGGGUCCUGCGCCGUGCCACUGGCCCUCCGGCAGCGCCGGCACCGCGCCAUGUCCGCAGCCCGCUCGCCCCGCCGGGGUGGGGCCUGGCGCCCGGCCGCGCCUCCUUCCCGGUGCCAUGGCGUUCCCCGCGGUGCUCACCAGCAGAGGGACCUCCAAGGCGAGCAUGCCGCCUCUCCGGAGGCUCUGAUCCCGCUCCUCCCCACAGGACCCCGGGCCGGGCUCAGCGAUUCCGGUCUCAGCCUCAGCGUUCCCAUUGAUCUGAGUCCAUGCCGUAAUACGCCACAAAUGGCGCCCGAAACAGGCCUUAAAGAGACAGUAAUGGCUGUACCGGCGGCGUAGCUCAGCCGAACGACGGAGCUGAAAGGAAGCUCGAGGCGCACCAUAAUUGCCAUUCUGCAGGACAGAAGAUAAAGGACCUCGUUGGGUUCCUGCAUGAUGGGUCCAUCCAGCCUUGUCCUCUGCCUCCUCAUCGCAGAAGGACUGACCAUGCCAUGGAUCCCCAACCAGCCGAAAGAAAACAUCUGGGUGACAUUGGCUAAUGCGACCGGACAAGACACUGUGUGUCUGUCUGUUGCAACACCUAUGAACCCGUUUAGCACGUGUCUGGUGGGAUUGCCAUUGGACAAAUGGACAUGUCUCAACAACACAUCCAUGGGAGGUGGACAACCUGUGGACACCUGGGAUGCUAGAUGGCGCAUCGGCUGACAACCUUUUUAGAGCCUCAAGAAGUUGAUUUGUUAGGAUCUGUGAAAGUAGAUAUGUGUUUAUUUUUCAAUUAUGCAGGGCAAAACCAAUCGUUAGUUCAGAAUGUUAAUUCAUCUUUAUCUGUCUAUUGAAAUGAAUCUGUGUGGUGUAGCUAUACAUCUACUAAUAUAUCUAAAUCUUCUAACACACCAGUAUCACUCCCUCAAGGCAUCUUUUUAAUCUGAGGAGAUCGGGCAUGGCCUGGCAUUCCGUCACAUAUACGAGGAGGCCCCUGUAGCCUGGGAAGACUGGCAAUAUUGUCUCCAAAUAUCUCUGUGAUAUUGAAUCAUACUAGAGCCCAUCAUCUCCACAGAUUAAAAAGGACCACUCAUGCUUUUAAUUCUGACUGUUCUGAUGAUGUCACAUUUUGGAACCCCACCAGUAUAAUUACAGCAUCUUUUCUUACCCCAGGGGUAGCCGCUGCGCAAGCUCUGGCAGCUUUAAAUAAAUUAGGUUGUUGGCUAGCAAAACAAACAAAUGCUACCUCUGAUGCCCUUUCCGGUCUCCUCCUUGAUGUAGACUCCAUAAGACAUGCAACCCUAUAGAAUCGAGCGGCCACAGAUUUCCUCCUCCUUGCUUAUGGUUAUGGAUGUGAGGAUUUUGACGGCAUGUGUUGUAUGAACCUUUCAGAUCACUCUGAAUCGGUUCAUCAAAGUAUACAACUUCUUAAACAACUUAUAGAGAAACUUCAGGUUGAGGAUGAUUGGAAUCGUUCUUCAGGUUCAUUUGCUGGAUUAGGGUUGUGGACCAAAAAAUUAAUUUUAGUAGGAGCACUUAUUAAUAUUUCUUAGCUUGUUAAUAUGUAUCCCCUGUGUAAUCAAACUUAUACAAUCUCUUAUUGAUCAAGCUCUUAAACAGGUGAUGGUGGUGAAUGUGCAAAACAAAGAAGGGGGAGAUGUGGGAAGAGGUGGCAUCAGCAUGACAAGCUUGAGCAGUCCAUUGAACAGAAGCAGCGAGACCUUGAUACUGAACAAGCCCUGGGCUCAGUAGGCCAGGCUAGGCCAUAGGGCUGAGUCGUGAAUACCCAGACGAAUCAGUGGAGUGCAUGGACUGCUCAUGAAGCUGACGCGGCGGUGCGUGGACUGCACGUGAUAGCCUCAGGCACAGAUAAGCAACGUGCUGUGGAAAGUCCCUGCGGAAAGCCCCUGGAAAACCCCAGGGGAGGUUCUGGGCGGAGAGAUUGUGUAUAAAUAGGGCUUGCCCAAAAUAAAGUUUGUCUCAGCAUUCUCA